GACUGACAUGGGGUGUGUGAGUGGCAGCAAUCUGGUGCCAUCACAUGCCAUGAAUAUUAAGUAACAUAGGCUAACUACAUGAAAAGUACAAACACAGAUCCUGAACUACAACGAGGUGACGGUUUCAUGACUACAUUUCCCUUUUCCAGCAAAAUACAAAUCUGAAGAUGUUCAAACAUGGAAGUCGGCUGGUCCUGUUUCACCCUGCCUCAGCCUCAGGUUAAGAGGAGUUUGGUAAUCAGGAGCAGAAUGUUCAGGAAUUGCAGUGUUUUAUGGAUUUCUUGGCAAAGCUGAGGGCAUGGCAUGUUUUGCCUUGAUGUUAAAACCUGGAAGAGCAAAGUAUCGGUCCAGGAAAACAGCUGGCAUUUAAACCUUACAGAAGAAACAAAGCAUUACUCAAACACGUCCAUCAGCCAGGUUGCUGAUCCCAUCCAGGUCAUCAAGGUUACUGCCAAGAUGUACAGGAGAGGAGGUCAGGGUUGGCUAUGAUCCCCUACAACACGCACAUCGUCUUCAGGGUCUGCGGUGAAGAAGCAGAUGCCAAGAUCCCAGCCAAACACAUUGACACAAUCUGCCUGAGGGGUGAUUGGGUGGGUGCAGAAAAAAAAGCAAAACUAACCACAGCAGCUGCUUACUGGUCCAACAAAUAACGUGCAGCCAUUUUUUAUUGAUCAGUUCAUUUGUUAAUGGGAACACCUAUCUUUUUAGCCAUAGGCUUACUGAGCGAUGAGGGGAUUCUUUGUAAAUAGCCUAGUUAAUUUGAGUUAUUUUGUCUUUUUUUUUUUCUUUUCUCACACCAUUACAGUUAAGCAUUAAGGUGUGCACUUUGCAUUGUGUUACAAGUGCACAGUGUAUAGAUAUUCUGACAAUCAGGAGUCUGCUUUUACAGGAAAGCUGGAUUCAUUGUAAUUUACAGGACUAUACAGGCAGGAUGGAUUAAUUGUGUUCAUUUCAUAUUUUAUAGUAUUAUGAUAUAGUAUUACAAAUACUAUAUUUAAAAACUAAGACAAACAGUGCCUGGGGUUACAUUUUCAUUAUAGCUCCGCUAUCCCUUUUACCAGUUUAAGACAAGUACCAAACAACAAAACAAAUAUAAUCUGUGAUGAAGAUAAUUUGGUUUAAUGUAAUUCUUACAUUUCUCUGAGUUUCACACGAGUACACCAGCUGGACCGAUUACCUUCCUGCUGAGGUAUGCCAUUACCCAACACCCGGAACAAAAAUUAAGUCCCUGCCAUUCAAUGCAUGUUUGUUUUUUUAACCAAGGUUUUUCAGAAAUUGCAUCAUAAUUUAAAUCAUUUUUAUUACUUUUUCCACUUUUGAAUUCUGCUAGAAUCUUUUUUAUUGAAUCUAAAUAAAUUUAAAAAAAUGCAGAAUAUUAAAGCCCAAUCUCAAAAUGAGACAGUGCAUGGGUACUGGCCUUUAAACCCAGCAGCUUCUAUUAUGUGAAUUAAGAUAUUCCUAGUAAUUAACAUGAUUAAUGUUAUCUUAUUUUGAAUUACAAUUCCAGUGCUUUCUGUCACUUUAAAGUAAUCAUUACCAAUUAAAAUAGCAAGCUCAUUUUCUCCAGCGCAAUUCAGGUCUGUGUUACCCAGUCUUUAACACUCUAAUUGGACUGAUUAAAAAAUGUGCAGCAUUUAAUUAGAAAGUGGUAUAAAACUUAUGACAAAUAUUGUUUCAGUAGCUUGAUGAUUUAAACACUCCAGUACUUCCACAGCCACAGAUCUGUAAAUCUGCUGGUUGUGAAUUUGAUAUAGUGUGCAGGACUUGUCAGGCCAUUUAGUAGCUUCUCAGUUCAUGAUCUUAUUUAAAAGUUCAUAGGUACUACAAAGAAUAGCAUUUAGUUUUUUAGUCUUUCUUUGCUCUAAAGCAGAGC
Polyodon spathula (Mississippi paddlefish) is the source of this 1873-nucleotide long non-coding RNA. RefSeq lists it as uncharacterized. The transcript is spliced from 4 exons. The record is from RefSeq and is a predicted model, not a curated record. Lineage: Eukaryota; Metazoa; Chordata; Actinopteri; Acipenseriformes; Polyodontidae.